CGAGAUACCAGACAAUGAGUCAUGUAUUAAAUGUUUCCUGGCUUAUGAUCUAAUGGCCGGAGAUCCUCAGCUUCAAUCAAUAUGAUAAGUGUAUCUUGGGUGGAUUGCUUCCUGGUUUCACUGUUUCGAUCAAAUGACAAUAAGCGAUGAAGCACGUCUUGUUCUUUAUGACUUUCAAGCUCAUGCAAGCUAUUCAAACUUCUUUGUGUAAACGUGACUAGAGAAUAUAAAUUCAAARACGRAUGAAGUUGCUCGAGAAACAGCCAUGAAAGCCAUAUUUUUUCACAUCUUUGCCCUGGUGUGUUUGUGUGGGUCGGCAACUUGUGGCAUUUUCGACGAUCCGAAGACUGUAACGAAAGCGAGAUGUUAUGCGAACUGCAUCACUUUGGUAUCACAAAUACCACAAAAUGAUUCAACCUGUCAAAGUACAGAAUGCCUACAGGUAA
Exaiptasia diaphana is the source of this 446-nucleotide long non-coding RNA. RefSeq lists it as uncharacterized. The record is from RefSeq and is a predicted model, not a curated record. NCBI's taxonomy places the organism in Eukaryota, Metazoa, Cnidaria, Anthozoa, Actiniaria, Aiptasiidae. The transcript has 3 exons.